RNAcentral lists this ribosomal RNA (203 nucleotides) under Trigonopterus strombosceroides. RNAcentral describes it as "partial small subunit ribosomal RNA". It matches the Rfam family "Eukaryotic small subunit ribosomal RNA", at positions 49 to 241 of the family's 1831-position model. Lineage: Eukaryota; Metazoa; Arthropoda; Insecta; Coleoptera; Curculionidae. The record is from RNAcentral.
CCAUGCAUGUCUCAGUACAAGCCGAAUUAAGGUGAAACCGCGAAAGGCUCAUUAAAUCAGUUAUGGUUCCUUAGAUCGUACCCACAAUUACUUGGAUAACUGUGGUAAUUCUAGAGCUAAUACAUGCAAACAGAGCUCCGACCGGAGACGGAAGGAGUGCUUUUAUUAGAUCAAAACCAAUCGGUGGCGGGUGUUCGCGCGCU